GAUGAACGCUGGCGGCGUGCCUAAUACAUGCAAGUCGAGCGAACAGACGAGGAGCUUGCUCCUCUGACGUUAGCGGCGGACGGGUGAGUAACACGUGGAUAACCUACCUAUAAGACUGGGAUAACUUCGGGAAACCGGAGCUAAUACCGGAUAAUAUAUUGAACCGCAUGGUUCAAUAGUGAAAGACGGUUUUGCUGUCACUUAUAGAUGGAUCCGCGCCGCAUUAGCUAGUUGGUAAGGUAACGGCUUACCAAGGCAACGAUGCGUAGCCGACGUGAGAGGGUGAUAGGCCACCCUGGAACUGAGACACGGUCCAGACUCCUACGGGAGGCAGCAGUAGGGAAUCUUCCGCAAUGGGCGAAAGCUUGACGGAGCAACGCCGCGUGAGUGAUGAAGGUCUUCGGAUCGUAAAACUCUGUUAUUAGGGAAGAACAAAUGUGUAAGUAACUAUGCACGUCUUGACGGUACCUAAUCAGAAAGCCACGGCUAACUACGUG
RNAcentral lists this ribosomal RNA (497 nucleotides) under uncultured bacterium. RNAcentral describes it as "partial 16S ribosomal RNA". It matches the Rfam family "Bacterial small subunit ribosomal RNA", at positions 28 to 507 of the family's 1533-position model. The record is from RNAcentral.